AUGAUGGUCGAGACAGAAGUGCCCCAUCAUUCUGAGACGGAGGCUUUGACUAAUAUAAAGGUUAUUCUAUAUACAACUAUUAAGGUGCCUGUUGCGGGUAAUAUGGAGGUUACUCCACCUGUUAUGGAUGAUUUGGAGGUUACUCCUCCAGUUGAGGAAAAGGUUACUGCUUUGGCUUUGAUAGAUUUGUUUGUGCCCACAGACAAAGGGUUUUUCUUGAGGGCCCAAUGA
Molecule: non-coding RNA, 231 nt
Organism: Vicia faba (fava bean)
Lineage: Eukaryota; Viridiplantae; Streptophyta; Magnoliopsida; Fabales; Fabaceae
Source: the annotation of a GenBank genome assembly